RNAcentral lists this ribosomal RNA (433 nucleotides) under uncultured bacterium. RNAcentral's name for it is "partial 16S ribosomal RNA". It matches the Rfam family "Bacterial small subunit ribosomal RNA", at positions 29 to 507 of the family's 1533-position model. The record is from RNAcentral.
AACGAACGCUGGCGGCAUGCCUAACACAUGCAAGUCGAACGAGAUCUUCGGAUCUAGUGGCGCACGGGUGCGUAACGCGUGGGAAUCUGCCCCUUGCUUCGGAAUAACAGUGAGAAAUUACUGCUAAUACCGGAUGAUGUCUCCGGACCAAAGAUUUAUCGGCAAGGGAUGAGCCCGCGUAGGAUUAGGUAGUUGGUGGGGUAAUGGCCUACCAAGCCGACGAUCCUUAGCUGGUCUGAGAGGAUGAUCAGCCACACUGGGACUGAGACACGGCCCAGACUCCUACGGGAAGCAGCAGUGGGGAAUAUUGGACAAUGGGCGAAAGCCUGAUCCAGCAAUGCCGCGUGAGUGAUGAAGGCCUUAGGGUUGUAAAGCUCUUUUACCAGGGAUGAUAAUGACAGUACCUGGAGAAUAAGCUCCGGCUAACUCCGUG